UUUUUCCUUUUUUGGUAUUUUAUUUAAUUUUUUCUCUUAAUUUAUUUUUCAUUUAUUUUUAUUUUUAUUUUAAAAAAUUUUUAUAAAGUUCAAAAUUUUUUAUUUUUAUUUUUUGAAUCUUUUUUAUUUUUUUAUUUUCUUAUUUUUUUUGCUAUUUUUUCUACUUUGUAAUUUUUUAAUAACUUUUUCCCUUCACAAUUUUCCUUCUUUUUGCUUUUUUUUUUUCAUAUGCUUUCAUUUUUACUUGUUUUUAUUUUUCGUUGUUUUAAAAAUUUUUAUUUUUUGUUUUUUAUUCCAAAUCUUUUGUCUUUUCAUUUUUAUUCUUUUCUUGCUUUUCUUUUUUUUUUUUCACAAAUUUCCUUUCAUUUCUUAUUUGCGUUUUUAAAUUCUCAUACUUUUUUUUUAUUUUGCAUUAACUUUUCUCUUUUUUAAUUUUUUGGCUGACUUUUUAUAUUGUUAGGUCUUAUAUGUUUUUCAAUUUUUUGUAUUUUUUAAACUAAUUUUUUUUUCAUUUUGUCAUUCCAUUUCAUUUUUGAAUUUUUUAUUCAAUUUUUGUCCUUUUUUAUUUUCUUACUUUUUUCUUUUUUUGUGCUUUAUUUAUCUUUUUUCUUUUGCUCUAAUUUUUUUCUUAUUUUAUUUUUUAUUUUCUUUCUUUAUUUAUAGUUUCAUAAAUUUUUAUAAAGUUUUGGAAUUUUUUAUUUUUCUAUCUUUUUUUCUUUUAUCAUUCUUGGUUAUUUUCUAUUGCAUUUUUAUAAUUUUUCAUUAACUUUUUCUCCUUUUAAAUUUUUCUCCUUUUUUUUUUAUGUGCUUUCAUUUUUUUUUGUUCACUUUUUUCUUUGUUUUAAAAUUUUCUAUAAAUUUUUUUCUUUUUGUUUUCUUUCAUAUUUUUGCCUCUUCAUUUUUUAUUUUUUUCUUCUUUUUCAUUUUUUUUCUCAAAUUUUAUUUUAUAUAUUUUGUAUUUUCGUUUUUUAUUUUUUCUUGCUUUUUCUUAAAUUUUUUUGUUCACACUUUUUUUUAUUUCUUCUUUAUAUUUUAUAUUUUUUAUUAACUUUAAUUUUAUUUUUCAUCUUUCAUAUUUUAUAUCUUUUUCCUCUAUUUGUUAUUUUUUUUCUUUGUACAUUCUAAACUAAAAGUUUUUUCCAUUUUAUAUUUGAAAUUUUUAUUCAUUUUGUCUUUUUAUAUUUUUUUGAUUCGCUAAUUUUUUAUUUUCUUACUUUGUUACUUUUUGCUUUUGUUUAUUUUAUUUUUCCUUUUUUGGUAUUUUAUUUAAUUUUUUCUCUUAAUUUAUUUUUCAUUUAUUUUAUUUUUAUUUUAAAAUUUUUUAUAAAGUUUAAAAUUUUUUAUUUUUAUUUUUUGAAUCUUUUUUAUUUUUUAUUUCUUAUUUUUUUGCUAUUUUUUCUACUUUGUAAUUUUUUAAUAACUUUUUCCCUUCACAAUUUUCCUUCUUUUUGCUUUUUUUUUUUUCAUAUGCUUUCAUUUUUACUUGUUUUUAUUUUUUCGUUGUUUUAAAAAUUUUUAUUUUUCUGUUUUUUAUUCCAAAUCUUUUGUCUUUUCUUGCUUUUCUUUUUUUUUUUCACAAAUUUCCUUUCAUUUCUUAUUUGCGUUUUUAAAUUCUCAUACCUUUUUUUAUUUUGCAUUCACUUUUCUCUUUUUUAAUUUUUUGUCUUACUUUUUAUAUUGUUAGGUCUUAUAUGUUUUUCAAUUUUUUGUAUUUUUUAAACUAAUUUUUUAUUCAAUUUUUGUCCUUUUUUAUUUUCUUACUUUUUUCUUUUUUUGUGCUUUAUUUAUCUUUUUUCUUUUUUUAUUUUCUUUCUUUAUUUAUAGUUUCAUAAAUUUUUAUAAAGUUUUGGAAUUUUUUUUCUAUCUUUUUUUCUUUUAUCAUUCUUGGUUAUUUUCUAUUGCAUUUUUAUAAUUUUUCAUUAACUUUUUCUCUUUUCAAAUUUUUCUUCUUUUUUUUAUGUGCUUUCAUUUUUUUUGUUCACUUUUUUCUUUGUUUUAAAAUUUUCUAUAAAUUUUUUUCUUUUUGUUUUCUUUCAUAUUUUUGCCUCUUCAUUUUUUAUUUUUUUUUCUCAAAUUUUAUUUUAUAUAUUUUGUAUUUUUGUUUUUUAUUUUUUUCUUGCUUUUUCUUAAAUCUUUUUGUUCACACUUUUUUUUAUUUCUUCUUUAUAAUUUUAUAUUUUUUAUUAACUUUUAUUUUAUUUUUCAUCUUUCAUAUUUUAUAUCUUUUUCCUCUAUUUGUUAUUUUUUUUCUUUGUACAUUCUAAACUAAAAGUUUUUUCCAUUUUAUAUUUGAAAUUUUUAUUCAUUUUGUCUUUUUAUAUUUUUUUGAUUCGCUAAUUUUUUAUUUUCUUACUUUGUUACUUUUUGUUUUUGUUUAUUUUUAUUUUUUCCUUUUUUGGUAUUUUAUUUAAUUUUUUCUCUUAAUUUAUUUUUCAUUUAUUUUAAAAAAUUUUUAUAAAGUUCAAAAUUUUUUAUUUUUAUUUUCUUAUUUUUUUUGCUAUUUUUUCUACUUUGUAAUUUUUUAAUAACUUUUUCCCUUCACAAUUUUCCUUCUUUUUGCUUUUUUUUUUCAUAUGCUUUCAUUUUUACUUGUUUUUAUUUUUUCGUUGUUUUAAAAAUUUUUAUUUUUCUAUUUUUUAUUCCAAAUCUUUUGUCUUUUCUUGCUUUUCUUUUUUUUUUUCACAAAUUUCCUUUCAUUUCUUAUUUGCAUUUUUAAAUUCUCAUACUUUUUUUAUUUUGCAUUCACUUUUCUCUUUUUUAAUUUUUUGUCUGACUUUUUAUAUUGUUAGGUCUUAUAUGUUUUUCAAUUUUUUUGUAUUUUUUAAACUAAUUUUUUUUUCAUUUUGUCAUUCCAUUUCAUUUUUGAAUUUUUUAUUCAAUUUUUGUCCUUUUUUAAUUUCUUACUUUUUUCUUUUUUUGUGCUUUUUUUAUUUUCUUUCUUUAUUUAUAGUUUCAUAAUUUUUUUAUAAAGUUUUGGAAUUUUUUAUUUUUCUAUCUUUUUUUCUUUUAUCAUUCUUGGUUAUUUUCUAUUGCAUUUUUAUAAUUUUUCAUUAACUUUUUCUCCUUUCAAAUUUUUCUUCUUUUUUUUAUGUCCU
Molecule: long non-coding RNA, 3095 nt
Filed under: Durio zibethinus
Lineage: Eukaryota; Viridiplantae; Streptophyta; Magnoliopsida; Malvales; Malvaceae
Description: long non-coding RNA (DZIB_LNC001294)
Source: RNAcentral